UGAGUGGCGGACGGGUGAGUAACGCGUGGGCAACCUGGCCUGUACAGGGGGAUAACACUUAGAAAUAGGUGCUAAUACCGCAUAACGGGGGAAGCCGCAUGGCUUCUCCCUGAAAACUCCGGUGGUACAGGAUGGGCCCGCGUCUGAUUAGCCAGUUGGCAGGGUAACGGCCUACCAAAGCGACGAUCAGUAGCCGGCCUGAGAGGGCGGACGGCCACACUGGGACUGAGACACGGCCCAGACUCCUACGGAAGGCAGCAG
RNAcentral lists this ribosomal RNA (261 nucleotides) under uncultured bacterium. RNAcentral's name for it is "partial 16S ribosomal RNA". It matches the Rfam family "Bacterial small subunit ribosomal RNA", at positions 92 to 354 of the family's 1533-position model. The record is from RNAcentral.